AUACAGAGGGUGCGAGCGUUAAUCGGAAUUACUGGGCGUAAAGCGCGCGUAGGCGGCUUGGUCAGUCGGAUGUGAAAGCCCCGGGCUCAACCUGGGAAUGGCAUUCGAUACUGCCAGGCUAGAGUAUGGGAGAGGGAAGUGGAAUUUCCGGUGUAGCGGUGAAAUGCGUAGAUAUCGGAAGGAACACCAGUGGCGAAGGCGACUUCCUGGCCCAAUACUGACGCUGAGGUGCGAAAGCGUGGGGAGCGAACAGGAUUAGAAACCCCGGUAGUCC
This 274-nucleotide ribosomal RNA is filed under the name uncultured bacterium. RNAcentral describes it as "partial 16S ribosomal RNA". It matches the Rfam family "Bacterial small subunit ribosomal RNA", at positions 523 to 796 of the family's 1533-position model. The record is from RNAcentral.